AAUGAACGUUGGCGGCGUGGAUUAGGCAUGCAAGUCGAAUGAAUCUCAGGUAGCAAUACCUGGGGGAAAUGGCGAAAGGGGCAGUAAUGUAUGGGUAACCUACCCGGGGUCGUGGAUAGCCGUCCUAACGGACGGGUAAUACAUGGCGAUUCGACGAGAGGACAUCCUUUUGUCGGGAAAGAAUUUCGCCUCCGGAGGGGCUCAUAUCGUAUUAGCUAGUUGGUGAGGUAACGGCUCACCAAGGCGAAGAUGCGUAGCGGGUGUGAGAGCACGACCCGCCGCCACUGGCGACUGA
This 295-nucleotide ribosomal RNA is filed under the name uncultured bacterium. RNAcentral describes it as "partial 16S ribosomal RNA". It matches the Rfam family "Bacterial small subunit ribosomal RNA", at positions 29 to 322 of the family's 1533-position model. The record is from RNAcentral.